GAUGAAGAACGCAGCGAAAUGCGAUAAGUAGUGUGAAUUGCAGAAUUCAGUGAAUCAUCGAAUCUUUGAACGCACAUUGCGCCCUUUGGUAUACCUUAGGGCAUGCCUGUUCGAGCGUCAUUUAAACCUUCAAGCUAAGCUUGGUGUUGGGUGACUGUCCGCUUCACGGCGGACUCGCCUCAAAAUUAUUGGCGGCCGGUACAUUGGCUUCGAGCGCAGCAGAAACGCGAACUCGGGCCCGUCGUAUUGGCUCCCAGAAGCUAUCUUCACAAUUUUGACCUCGGAUCAGGUAGGGAUACCCGCUGAACUUAAGCAUAUCAAUAAGCGGAGGA
Molecule: unclassified non-coding RNA, 332 nt
Filed under: soil metagenome
Description: partial contains 5.8S ribosomal RNA, internal transcribed spacer 2, and large subunit ribosomal RNA
Rfam family: 5.8S ribosomal RNA (bases 1-120)
Source: RNAcentral